UACGUAGGGUGCAAGCGUUGUCCGGAAUUAUUGGGCGUAAAGAGCUCGUAGGCGGUCUGUCGCGUCGAAUGUGAAAACCCGGGGCUCAACCCCGGGCCUGCAUUCGAUACGGGCAGACUAGAGUUCGGUAGGGGAGUCUGGAAUUCCUGGUGUAGCGGUGAAAUGCGCAGAUAUCAGGAAGAACACCCGUGGCUAAGGCGGCUCUCUAGUACGGUACUGACGCUGAGACGCGAAAGCGUGGGGAGCGAACAGG
Molecule: ribosomal RNA, 253 nt
Filed under: uncultured bacterium
Lineage: Bacteria
Description: partial 16S ribosomal RNA
Rfam family: Bacterial small subunit ribosomal RNA
Source: RNAcentral